UACGUAGGGGGCAAGCGUUGUCCGGAAUCAUUGGGCGUAAAGCGCGUGUAGGCGGCCCGGUAAGUCCGCUGUGAAAGUCCAGGGCUCAACCCUGGAAUGCCGGUGGAUACUGUCGGGCUCGAGUCCGGAAGAGGCGACUGGAAUUCCUGGUGUAGCGGUGAAAUGCGCAGAUAUCAGGAGGAACACCGGUGGCGAAGGCGGGUCUCUGGGCCGAAAUUGACGCUGAGGAGCGAAAGCGUGGGGAGCAAACAGG
RNAcentral lists this ribosomal RNA (253 nucleotides) under uncultured bacterium. RNAcentral describes it as "partial 16S ribosomal RNA". It matches the Rfam family "Bacterial small subunit ribosomal RNA", at positions 524 to 776 of the family's 1533-position model. The record is from RNAcentral.